RNAcentral lists this small RNA (125 nucleotides) under Marmota monax (woodchuck). Lineage: Eukaryota; Metazoa; Chordata; Mammalia; Rodentia; Sciuridae. The record is from RNAcentral.
GCCAGGUGUGGUGGCGCCUGCCUGUGAUCCCAGCGGCUCAGGAGGCUGAGGCAGGAGGAUCACGAGUUCAAAGCCAGCCUCAGCAAAAGUGAGGUGUUAAGCAACUCAGUGAGACCCUGUCUCUA